GACGAACGCUGGCGGCGUGCUUAACACAUGCAAGUCGAACGGAAAGGCCCUGCUGUUGUGGGGUGCUCGAAUGGCGAACGGGUGAGUAACACGUGUGUAACCUGCUCUCGACUUUGGGAUAACUUCAGGCAACUGGGGCUAAUAUCUGAAAGGAGCUCCCGCUGCAUGGGGGGGGUUGGAGAGUUUCGGCGGUUGGGGUUGGACUCGCGGCUUAUCAGCUUGUUGGUGGGGAAGUGGCUUACCAAGGCUUUGGCGGGUAGCCGGCAUGAGAGGGUGACCGGCUACAUCGGGACUGAGAUACGCCCCAGACUGCAACGGGAGGCAGCAGGGGGGAAUAUUGCACAAUGGGCGGAAGCCUGAUGCAGCGACGCCGCGUGCGGGAUGACGGCCUUCGGGUUGUAAACCGCUUUCGCCUGUGACGAAGCGUGAGUGACGGUAAUGGGUAAAGAAGCACCGGCUAACUACGUG
RNAcentral lists this ribosomal RNA (468 nucleotides) under uncultured bacterium. RNAcentral's name for it is "partial 16S ribosomal RNA". It matches the Rfam family "Bacterial small subunit ribosomal RNA", at positions 28 to 507 of the family's 1533-position model. The record is from RNAcentral.